CUUCCAGACUCCUACGGGAGGCAGCAGUGGGGAAUAUUGCACAAUGGGCGCAAGCCUGAUGCAGCCAUGCCGCGUGUAUGAAGAAGGCCUUCGGGUUGUAAAGUACUUUCAGUCGGGAGGAAGGUGUCAAGGUUAAUAACCUUGGCAAUUGACGUUACCGACAGAAGAAGCACCGGCUAACUCCGUGCCAGCAGCCGCGGUAAUACGGAGGGUGCAAGCGUUAAUCGGAAUUACUGGGCGUAAAGCGCACGCAGGCGGUCUGUCAAGUCGGAUGUGAAAUCCCCGGGCGCAACCUGGGAACUGCAUUCGAAACUGGCAGGCUGGAGUCUUGUAGAGGGGGGUAGAAUUCCAGGUGUAGCGGUGAAAUGCGUAGAGAUCUGGAGGAAUACCGGUGGCGAAGGCGGCCCCCUGGACAAAGACUGACGCUCAGGUGCGAAAGCGUGGGGAGCAAACAGGAGUAGAUACCCUAGUAAAA
Molecule: ribosomal RNA, 475 nt
Filed under: uncultured bacterium
Lineage: Bacteria
Description: bacterial SSU rRNA
Rfam family: Bacterial small subunit ribosomal RNA
Source: RNAcentral